GAGUGAAAUGAUGUUUUACCAUCUUUCGGGACUGACAUUCAAUGGAGACAUACUUGCUAUUACUGAUCACUC
Molecule: small nucleolar RNA, 72 nt
Organism: Amblyraja radiata (thorny skate)
Lineage: Eukaryota; Metazoa; Chordata; Chondrichthyes; Rajiformes; Rajidae
Product: small nucleolar RNA SNORD2
Exons: 1
Source: RefSeq, a predicted model, not a curated record